UCUAAUAUGGCAGAAUAGUGUACUGGAUUUAAGCUCCAACCAUAAAGCCAAGCUUUUUUUAGAA
RNAcentral lists this transfer RNA (64 nucleotides) under Pityophthorus pubescens. RNAcentral describes it as "tRNA-Leu". Lineage: Eukaryota; Metazoa; Arthropoda; Insecta; Coleoptera; Curculionidae. The record is from RNAcentral.